This is an RNA transcript of Arabidopsis lyrata subsp. lyrata, 1506 nucleotides long. It is a transcript of the gene named trihelix transcription factor ASIL2, with no coding region annotated. The transcript is spliced from 4 exons. NCBI's taxonomy places the organism in Eukaryota, Viridiplantae, Streptophyta, Magnoliopsida, Brassicales, Brassicaceae. The record is from RefSeq and is a predicted model, not a curated record.
AAUCUGCUCACGGUUUAGUACAUGCACACAAAGCAAAAACGCUGGUUUGUUUUUUUAAAAGAACUUCGUUCGUCGUCAAUUCCGUUACCGUCACCGUCACCGUGACUGUCCACCUCCGUUUAUCUCAUCCUCACCGUUCAUCUUCUCCGAUCUAACUCGCCGUCGUUCACCGUAUGAUGGACGCCGUCAACGAUUCCUUUUCGCCGGGAUCUUCUCGUCCUUCGCCGUCGACGCUUUCUCGUGAAGAUUGCUGGAGCGAGGAAGCGACCUUCACGCUAAUCCAAGCCUGGGGUAAUCGCUACGUCGAGCUUAGCCGUGGUAAUCUCCGUCAGAAACACUGGCAAGAGGUGGCUAACGCCGUUAACGACCGUCACUACAACACCGGCCGAAACGUUUCCGCCGCCAAAUCGCAGCCGUAUCGCACCGACGUUCAGUGUAAAAACCGGAUCGAUACUUUGAAGAAGAAGUUCAAAGUGGAGAAGGCUAGGGUUUCCGAAUCCAAUCCCGGUGCCUACAUCAGCCCUUGGCCUUUCUUCUCCGCUCUCGAUGACCUUCUCCGGGAAAGCUUUCCGACGUCUAGUAAUCCUGAUUCAACUGAUAACAUCCCGAGCCAGAGGCUAUCGCUUCCGAUGGCGAUUAUUCCAGUUCCGGUCGCUCCACGAUCGGCGAUCCCCAGACGUCCGGCGACGUCGCCGGCGAUUAUACCUCACGUCGGUGACGAUUUACUCGGAUUCCGCGGAAAUCUAAACGCAUUCGCGGCAGCCGCAGCGGCGGCGGCGUGCCCGGCGUCUGAGGAUGAUUCGGAAGGUUCAAGGUCUAGAUCGAGCGGACGAAGCGGAAGUAAGAAGAAGCGGGAGAGGGAAACUGAGAAGAAGCAAGGUUACAAGGAAGUUGCCGACGCAAUUGAGAGGCUUGGACAGAUAUACGAGAGAGUCGAGGAGAGGAAGAGGAAGGAAAUGGUUGAAUUGGAGAAGCAGAGAAUGCGAUUCGCUAAGGAAUUGGAAUGUCAUAGGAUGCAACUCUUCACUGAGAUGCAGGUACGUCUUCAUAAGCUCCGGCGUACUUCUGGAUCCAAAGGACCGACGUCCUCCGCCUCCGCCGCUCUUGAUUAUGGGAUGAUAGACUUUCCUAGUUACUUCUAAUGGCAUCAUGAGUUUGUGAUUGUAGCCAUUGAUGAAGAUGGGAGAAGUCAACAUCUAAGCGUUCUUCCACCAACCAAUAGAAGAUAUGGAUUACUAAUAUAUAAGAUUGUUAAACGACAGAGCUACCCGUACGUAAAGUAUAGUAAAACUAAGGAGGCAUGGAAAGAAGAGAAGAGAAGACAAAAGAUAUCAAUGUAACAGUCCGGAUCCGUGCAUGAUUUGAUAUCUUUCCAUUAUUUUUAUUAUGUUGUAGUUUGGAAUCCUAGCAUUAGACAAUAUGUUACCAUUCACAAACCAGGUAAACUCAUAUUUGGUGUACAAGUAUUUUCAAAAAGCUAUUUAAGAUACGAUCCUUUUGGAAAUA